Molecule: ribosomal RNA, 557 nt
Filed under: uncultured eukaryote
Lineage: Eukaryota
Description: bacterial SSU rRNA
Rfam family: Eukaryotic small subunit ribosomal RNA
Source: RNAcentral
AAACUUACCAGGUCCGGACACAGGAAGGAUUGACAGAUUGAUAGCUCUUUCUUAAUUUCUGUGGGUGGUGGUGCAUGGCCGUUCUUAGUUCGUGGAACUGAUCUGUCAGCUUAAUUGCGUUAACGAACGAGACCUUUAAUUAUUAAUUAGUUAAAUAUAUAGUAAUAUAUACUUUAAAAAGAAAGAUAGAUUUUUAUUUUUCUUUUCUCUGACUUCUUAAAAUAACAAUUGGUGGUAACCAAAGUAAGUUAAAAGGCAAUAACAGGUCUGUGAUGCCCUUUAGAUGUUCUGGGCUGCACGCGCGUUACACUGAAAAUAUCAAUAAGUUUUUAUAUAUCAAACAAUUAUAUUUUAUAUAUUUGUUUUGAUAUGUCCUUGAUUGAAAAAUUUUGGGUAAACUUGAUAACUAUUUUCGUGAUGGGGAUUGAUAAUUGUAAUUAUUUAUCGAUGAACGAGGAAUACCUAGUAAACGCAAGUCAUUAACUUGCAUUGAUUACGUCCCUGCCCUUUGUACACACCGCCCGUCGCUCCUACCGAUGAAAAGUCCAUGAAAUAUU